Bison bison bison is the source of this 106-nucleotide small nuclear RNA. The record is from Ensembl. Lineage: Eukaryota; Metazoa; Chordata; Mammalia; Artiodactyla; Bovidae.
GUGCUCAUUUCAGCAGCACCUGUACUAAAACCAGAAUGAUAUAGAGAAGGCUAGCAAGGCCCUGUCCAAGGAUUUAGUUAUAUACUGUGUAAAACUUAAUUCUUAA